Molecule: ribosomal RNA, 273 nt
Filed under: uncultured bacterium
Lineage: Bacteria
Description: partial small subunit ribosomal RNA
Rfam family: Bacterial small subunit ribosomal RNA
Source: RNAcentral
AGAAUCAACGCUGGCGGCGUGCCUCAGACAUGCAAGUCGAACGCGAAAGCCCCCUUCGGGGGGCAAGUAGAGUGGCGCACGGGUGAGUAACACGUAGGUAAUCUACCUUCGGAUGGGGAAUAACAAUCGGAAACGAUUGCUAAUACCGCAUAAUGCAGCGGCACCUAAUGGUGACAGUUGUUAAAGCGGGGGAUCGAAAGACCUCGCGUCUGAAGAGGAGCCUGCGGCGGAUUAGCUAGUUGGUAAGGUAAUGGCUUACCAAGGCAACGAUCC